AGUGAACGCUGGCGGUAGGCCUAACACAUGCAAGUCGAACGGCAGCACAGUAAGAGCUUGCUCUUACGGGUGGCGAGUGGCGGACGGGUGAGGAAUACAUCGGAAUCUACUUUUUCGUGGGGGAUAACGUAGGGAAACUUACGCUAAUACCGCAUACGACCUACGGGUGAAAGCAGGGGAUCUUCGGACCUUGCGCGAUUGAAUGAGCCGAUGUCGGAUUAGUUAGUUGGCGGGGUAAAGGCCCACCAAGGCGACGAUCCGUAGCUGGUCUGAGAGGAUGAUCAGCCACACUGGAACUGAGACACGGUCCAGACUCCGACGGGAGGCAGCAGUGGGGAAUAUAGGACAAUGGGCGCAAGCCUGAUCCAGCCAUACCGCGUGGGUGAAGAAGGCCUUCGGGUUGUAAAGCCCUUUUGUUGGGAAAGAAAAGCAGCAGGUUAAUACCCCGCUGUUCUGACGGUACCCAAAGAAUAAGCACCGGCUAACUUCGUG
This 492-nucleotide ribosomal RNA is filed under the name uncultured bacterium. Its description in RNAcentral is "partial 16S ribosomal RNA". It matches the Rfam family "Bacterial small subunit ribosomal RNA", at positions 29 to 507 of the family's 1533-position model. The record is from RNAcentral.